UAGGGAAUAUUGCAAAAUGGGCGAAAGCCCGAUGCAGCAACGCCGCGUGGGCGAUGAAGGCCUUCGGGUCGUAAAACCCUUUUUGAGGGGAUGAGGAAGGACAGUACCCUCAGAAUAAGCCUCGGCUAACUACGUGCAAGCAGCAGCGGUAAAACGUAGGAGGCGAGCGUUAUCCGGAUUUACUGGGCGUAAAGCGCGUGCAGGCGGAUUGGAGAGUUGGAUGUGAAAGCUCCCGGCUUAACUGGGAGAGGUCGUUCAAUACUUCCAGUCUUGAGUGCAGUAGAGGGAAGUGGAAUUCCGGGUGUAGUGGUGAAAUGCGUAGAUAUCCGGAGCAACACCAGUGGCGAAAGCGGCUUCCUGGACUGUAACUGACGCUCAGACGCGAAAGCUAGGGUAGCAAACG
RNAcentral lists this ribosomal RNA (403 nucleotides) under uncultured bacterium. Its description in RNAcentral is "bacterial SSU rRNA". It matches the Rfam family "Bacterial small subunit ribosomal RNA", at positions 355 to 774 of the family's 1533-position model. The record is from RNAcentral.